RNAcentral lists this long non-coding RNA (297 nucleotides) under Vombatus ursinus (common wombat). RNAcentral's name for it is "lncRNA (ENSVURG00010024014.1)". Lineage: Eukaryota; Metazoa; Chordata; Mammalia; Diprotodontia; Vombatidae. The record is from RNAcentral.
GAAGGGAGGGGCGGGGCGGUCACAUGAGCAGAACGCUCGGAGAAGAAUAGGGGAGCUGGAUCCCUUAGGCGGCUGAGGUGCUCUUCUGGACUCCCCAGUCCAGGGCUUCUCCCACAACGUCUUGCUGUCUCCUUUGACUCCCAAGGCCAAGCCCCUUCCUCUUCCAGGCUUUGCUGAUACUACCAGGGCACCGUCUCCUUUUCAGUAGCCAGGCUCAGAGCCAUCUUUCCCUGCUCACUCUCACCCUUGUAUCCAGACACCUGCCACAUCUUGGCAUUUUCCCGUCUCUUCAUUCAC